RNAcentral lists this ribosomal RNA (431 nucleotides) under uncultured bacterium. RNAcentral's name for it is "partial 16S ribosomal RNA". It matches the Rfam family "Bacterial small subunit ribosomal RNA", at positions 29 to 507 of the family's 1533-position model. The record is from RNAcentral.
AACGAACGCUGGCGGCAGGCUUAACACAUGCAAGUCGAGCGCCCCGCAAGGGGAGCGGCAGACGGGUGAGUAACGCGUGGGAACGUACCUUUUGGUUCGGAACAACUCCGGGAAACUGGAGCUAAUACCGGAUAUGCCCUAACGGGGAAAGAUUUAUCGCCGAAAGAUCGGCCCGCGUCUGAUUAGCUAGUUGGUGAGGUAACGGCUCACCAAGGCGACGAUCAGUAGCUGGUCUGAGAGGAUGAUCAGCCACACUGGGACUGAGACACGGCCCAGACUCCUACGGGAGGCAGCAGUGGGGAAUAUUGGACAAUGGGCGCAAGCCUGAUCCAGCCAUGCCGCGUGAGUGAUGAAGGCCUUAGGGUUGUAAAGCUCUUUUGUCCGGGAAGAUAAUGACUGUACCGGAAGAAUAAGCCCCGGCUAACUUCGUG